RNAcentral lists this transfer RNA (63 nucleotides) under Cryptocotyle lingua. RNAcentral describes it as "tRNA-Phe". The record is from RNAcentral. Lineage: Eukaryota; Metazoa; Platyhelminthes; Trematoda; Opisthorchiida; Heterophyidae.
CCCUUCUAGCUUAUUUUUUAAAGCAUUAGUUUGAAGAGCUGAAGAUACUUUUUAGUGGUGGGA